RNAcentral lists this small RNA (2750 nucleotides) under Pan troglodytes (chimpanzee). RNAcentral describes it as "retained intron". Lineage: Eukaryota; Metazoa; Chordata; Mammalia; Primates; Hominidae. The record is from RNAcentral.
UGUAGCUGCAGCCGGCGCCCAGCUCUCGAGAGGACUGUGGGAGAGCAGAGGCUCAAACGAGGCCGCCUGCCGAGUUCCUCCACGGGCCCCUGGGCGAGGAGCGCUCUGCUGGGGACUGCGCCAGCGGUGCCUCCAGGCCUGGACUCUCAGCUCCGCUGCUGCUUUUGGCCAGAGUUCCCAAAGGCGGGUGUGGUUGUCUUUGGUGGGAAGGUUCAGCGCACCGCGAUAGUAAUAGGGGAGCAAGCACUCGCUGAGCCCAGUGCAGGGCCUGGACCGUGCUCCAUAGCAAGCACUGAUCUUGGGGUAUUGGUUUUGGAGGAAAGAGGGAGCACAAGGAUGGAAGGGGCCAGGGAAGAGUGGUCACGGUGGGAGAAGGAGAGUCCGCAUCCAUCGGAGGGUUUGUCACUCAGGCCUGAGUGGGAGGCACUGGAGGCAGGGAGAGGCCAGUCAGCAGCACGCGGCCACAGCCCAGAGAAGCCAGAGGGGUUUGCUGGUGGGUGGGCCCCAGCCUUUUCAAGGGAACGGCAGGUCUGGGGAGCUGCCGAUCUCGGGGUGUGAGGGUAACGGGCAGGCUGUGGCCCACCCCUCCUUCUCAGGCUCACUGGACCCCUGACCGGUUUCAUCACCAUUAUCCAAGGCUUUGAAAAGAACCCCUGGCCUUCCUGCCACAUCUGCCCUAGCUAUAGGGCUUCGUUCCCCUCCACAAAUGGUGCAGACAGCAUGAGCCACCCUGGCAGGGGGCUGGGGGUCCGUGGGGUAGGAGUUGGGGGUAGCUGAGCGUUCUUUCCUGUCCCCACGGUGCCUGGUGCUGGGGCUUGGCAGGCGGUGAAGGGUUGGGACAGCCUGGCUUUAGCAGGCCCUGAGUCAGGGGUCUCAGGCUCCGCAGCACACAGACCCCAGGCAGGUAUCAGGAUGGGAUGUGGCCAGAGAAAGGCAUGUGCUCUGUCUGGGGACAGCUGCCACCCAGCUGACACAGUUGGCGUGAGAUUGUGGAGUUUUAUGGAGUAAAAUCACAAAUCUGGGUUUUUUAAGUAAAACCUUCUAUGAGUUGCCAUCUCUGGCCUUCAACAUAGGGUUUGGGUCUUUCCUGGGUGAGCUGGUGCUUUGUGGGCCAGGCCCUGGGAGCUGCAAGUACCAGUUGGGAUCUGCUAUUGCCCUGUGGAAGGAUUUUAAGCAGGGGUGAAACAUGGUCAGACUUGGAUUUAGAGAUGAGGAAAAAAAACAAAAUCACGGUGCCCAGAGUCUCUGGGGAGACUGGAGAAUGCAGUGCAGGAGCCGCAGGAGCCAAAAAGGGGCACUGGUCCUGCGAAGAGUGGCUCUGUCCAUCCCUGCCUCCCAGUAUGUGCCCACUGUGACCAGAGCUCCAUUUCUCAAAAGAAGCCAGUGAUGCCAAUUACCAUGAGAAAUUUCCUUAUUUUUAACUGUCGAUUAAAAUUUGUACAAGUAUGGUGGGGCAGGCCUGCAAAAUGAUCUCCAAGUGCCUGGCCUUUGAUGCCCAUCCUAAAAGCAUGUGUGGCACUGGAGGGCCCACGUUUCUUUGUUCCUCUUGAGAAGCUGGGGUGGGGGCCGGCUGGGCUCAGGGUGCGGCCCCUCACUUCCCAGGGCUGUGGUCUCGGUGGGGCCUGCACUGUUCCUGGGUGUCCUCGGGCUGAGCCUCUGCCCUGUGAGGACGGCCGCUCAGGCACGAGCCGUCAGCGAAGCCGUGGCUGUGACUCUGUUUUCCGCAGUGGAGCGGAGGCGGAGGGACAAGAUCAACAACUGGAUCGUCCAGCUUUCGAAAAUCAUUCCAGACUGUAAUGCAGACAACAGCAAGACGGGAGCGGUGAGCACCCCGGACCCUCAGUGGCUGCGGUGGUCCCGGCCCCCAACCCUUGCAUGCAGAAAGUCCAACAGCCAUGGGGCUCGGGAGUCAUCCCUGGGGUGGAGGCCGGUGGGCGGUGCCUGCCCUAAGGCUCCUGGUCCCCUCGCCCCCCAGAGUAAAGGAGGGAUCCUGUCCAAGGCCUGCGAUUACAUCCGGGAGUUGCGCCAGACCAACCAGCGCAUGCAGGAGACCUUCAAAGAGGCCGAGCGGCUGCAGAUGGACAACGAGCUCCUGAGGCAGCAGAUCGAGGAGCUGAAGAAUGAGAACGCCCUGCUUCGAGCCCAGCUGCAGCAGCACAACCUGGAGAUGGUGGGCGAGGGCACCCGGCAGUGACGCCCGCCACCACCACGCAGCCGCCGCCGCCCACACCGGCCUCUGCUGCCCCCUUCCCCAGCCCUUAGCACAGAGAGGGACACAUGCCCCUCCCCCAGCUGCGUUUUUUUAUAGUAGAUUUUUAACAAAAAACGGGGAGAAAUAAUGCAUUUCUGUGGAUACAGUGCCCACCGCCCUCCUCCACUUGGAAACGGUAUCCUCCCUCCCCAUCCGUCUGUCUGUCGCCCUUCUCCUGGCCCUCACUAAGCCCCGGCACUUCUAGUGGUCUCACCUGGAGGCAAGAGGGAGGGGACAGAGGCCCUGCCACGUCCCGCUGCCUCCUGCUCUCUGGAGGUACUGAGACAGGGUGCUGAUGGGAAGGAGGGGAGCCUUUGGGGGGCCACCCGGGGCCUGGACCUAGCAGGGAGGCCACGUCCCACCCCACCUCUUGUUUCUGGGUCCCUGCUCCCCUUUGGGUGUGUGUGUGUGUGUUUUAAUUUUCUUUAUGGAAAAAUUGACAAAAAAAAAUAGAGAGAGAGAGAGGUAUUUAACUGCAAUAAACUGGCCCCAUGUGGCC